Molecule: ribosomal RNA, 482 nt
Filed under: uncultured bacterium
Lineage: Bacteria
Description: partial 16S ribosomal RNA
Rfam family: Bacterial small subunit ribosomal RNA
Source: RNAcentral
AUUGAACGCUGGCGGCAUGCUUUACACAUGCAAGUCGAACGGCAGCGCGGGGCAACCUGGCGGCGAGUGGCGAACGGGUGAGUAAUAUAUCGGAACGUACCCAGAAGUGGGGGAUAACGUAGCGAAAGUUACGCUAAUACCGCAUACGAUCUACGGAGGAAAGUAGGGGACCGCAAGGCCUUAUGCUUUUGGAGCGGCCGAUAUCUGAUUAGCUAGUUGGUGAGGUAAAGGCUCACCAAGGCGACGAUCAGUAGCUGGUCUGAGAGGACGACCAGCCACACUGGAACUGAGACACGGUCCAGACUCCUACGGGAGGCAGCAGUGGGGAAUUUUGGACAAUGGGCGCAAGCCUGAUCCAGCAAUGCCGCGUGAGUGAAGAAGGCCUUCGGGUUGUAAAGCUCUUUUGUCAGGGAAGAAACGGUAGAGGCUAAUAUCCUUUGCUAAUGACGGUACCUGAAGAAUAAGCACCGGCUAACUACGUG